This 292-nucleotide ribosomal RNA is filed under the name uncultured Acidobacteriota bacterium. RNAcentral describes it as "uncultured Acidobacteria bacterium partial 16S ribosomal RNA". The record is from RNAcentral. Lineage: Bacteria; Pseudomonadati; Acidobacteriota.
GGACUACAGGGGUUUCUAAUCCUGUUUGCUACCCACGCUUUCGUGUCUCAGCGUCAGUGAUGGUCCAGAAAGCCGUCUACACCGCAGGUGUUCCUCCUGAUAUCUACGCAUUUCACCGCUACACCAGGAAUUCCGCUUUCCCCUCCCAUACUCAAGCCCCCCAGUUUCCGGCGCACCCUCCCGGUUGAGCCGGGAGAUUUCACACCGAACUUAGAGAACCGCCUACACACUCUUUACGCCCAGUAACUCCGAACAACGCUUGCUGCCUACGUAUUACCGCGGCUGCUGGCAC